AGGUCAGCCUGCCAGUGACAAAGUUUACGGCCUCGGUACCCUAACCGCGCGAAGGUAGCAUAAUCACUUGUUCCUUAAAUAGGGACUUGUAUCAACGGCAUCACGAGGGCUAAACUGUCUCCCCUCUCCAAUCAAUGAACCUGAUCUCUUCGUGAAGAAGCGAAGAUAAACAUAUAAGACGAGAAGACCCCAUGAAGCUUAAAACCAUAUAGCACCCCUCUACUCACAAACCUAAAAAAAAGAGAGCCUGUUAACCAGUUUUUGGCUGGGGCACCCAAGGAGUAUAAACCAACCUCCUUGAUAACAUCUCGAGCCACACCUCUAAGAAACAGUAAACUGACUAAAGUGAUCCGACUAUCUCGAUCAACGAACCAAGUUACCCUGGGGAUAACAGCGCAAUCCAUUUCAAGAGUUCCUAUCGACAAAUGGGUUUACGACCUCGAUGUUGGAUCAGGGUACCCCAGUGGUGCAGCCGCUACUAAAGGUUCGUUUGUUCAACGAUUAAAACCCUACGUGAUCUGAGUUCAGACCGGA
This 534-nucleotide ribosomal RNA is filed under the name Phrynobatrachus plicatus (coast river frog). Its description in RNAcentral is "partial 16S ribosomal RNA". It matches the Rfam family "Bacterial large subunit ribosomal RNA", at positions 1898 to 2620 of the family's 2925-position model. The record is from RNAcentral. Lineage: Eukaryota; Metazoa; Chordata; Amphibia; Anura; Phrynobatrachidae.